AAUAUCUAAACGGANNAAUUNNAUAUUGCUGUUAAAGGCAAUGUGCACUUUUCUUUUAGUAAGACGUUGUGAUCCAUUAGAAAUUGACCAUACCAAUGGUUAUUGGGCNAUCAAUAGGCCGGCAUGAAGUUCAUCGGUGCAAAUGACUGAAUCUUUAAUGGUUUUGUGUGCUGCCUGGUGAGCGUGCUGAUACCUGAUAUAGCUGUCUGAUGGAUUUUAAAGAUCAUAUUAUCAAUGUUACGGCAUUGCUUGCUGCGGCAAGAAUGAAUAUGUAUCCGAUCAACAACGGUUAAAUUUGGGAUACCUUUUGGACCCGUCUUGAAACACGGACCAAGGAGUCUAUCUAGUAUGCAAGUAAAUGAGUAUAUGAAACUUAUUUGCGUAAAAAACUUGACUGUUAUGGGAUUACAAGUUUACUUUCACGAGUGACUUCUCCAUCCCGGGGUAUUUUUAUCAACAUAUGCAGCAAUGUAUAUGGAAAAUAUACCAUGAGCAUACUGGAUAUGACCCGAAAGAUGGUGAACUAUGCCUGAUCAGGUUGAAGUCAGGGGAAACCCUGAUGGAGGACCGAAGCAGUUCUGACGUGCAAAUCGAUUGUCAGAAUUGGGCAUAGGGGCGAAAGACCAAUCGAACCAUCUAGUAGC
Molecule: ribosomal RNA, 644 nt
Filed under: Neobrillia longistyla
Lineage: Eukaryota; Metazoa; Arthropoda; Insecta; Diptera; Chironomidae
Description: eukaryotic LSU rRNA
Rfam family: Eukaryotic large subunit ribosomal RNA
Source: RNAcentral